Molecule: long non-coding RNA, 3086 nt
Filed under: Gossypium raimondii (Peruvian cotton)
Lineage: Eukaryota; Viridiplantae; Streptophyta; Magnoliopsida; Malvales; Malvaceae
Description: long non-coding RNA (GRAI_LNC003736)
Source: RNAcentral
UAAAUUGAACUGAAGACAAAAAAUUUGGGGCAAAUUCGCAAAUAAUUGAAGAUCGAAUGACCAUAUUGAAUGCGCAAAGAAUGCAGAGGGGCUGGAAAGGAAGUUGUCCCUUCUCUAAAACGGCGCUGUUGCAAGUUGGACGAAAUUGAAAUUAAAAACAAAUUAAAGGCGAAUUUUAAAAAUAAAAUAAACUUAAUUGUAAAAAGUAUUAAAAGGCGGAGGGGCUAAAAGCACAAUUUACCCCUCCGCUCAAAAACACGCGGAUCCUAGGCCGAGUCGGGUCGACCUUCCCAAAACGACGCCGUUUUGGGCGUUUGGGGGCUCUCCAAAACGGUACCGUUUUGGUACCCUAUAAAAGCCCCUAUCUUUCCAAAAAAACUCAUUUUAAACCCUAUUUAAAAAAAAACAAAGUCCUUUAAAAAAAGCUCUCCCCCUUAGUUCUCCGGUGUCCAAUCCGGCCAUCGGCCGCUCAUCGGCCACCGCACUGGUCGUCGAUCUCCAACGUCGACACCGCCGUCUACAGUGGCCGACAAUGGGGAAAAUCCCUUAUUCGGUUCCUUCGGUCUCUCUAAACCCAAAUCUGGGUUUGGAAUUUUCAAAAUAUCGACAAAAACCGCAAAGAAGUCAAGGAAACCCUUCGGUUUCCGGCCACCGAUCCUCGGCGUGGCUCCCUCAAACGCUUCAGCGCCGUUUCAAAGUCCAAAGAAAGGUGGUUUCUUUCGUUUUUAAUUUUAUAUUAUUCGUUUAUAAAAAAUAAAACAAUAAAUAGAAAAAUAGAAAAAUAAAUAAAUAUUGUAAAUGUCAACCUUUUUGAUCGAUUUGCCCUCUGUAUUGAACUCUCGGUGUGAAAAUAAUAACUUUUUUUAUUUGAUUUUCCCGUGGUCCCCUUUACAGUAUUCUUAAUGGCUUUUUAUAGCCAUAAUAAAACAAAUAGUAUAGAAAGUAAAUCUUGUUUACAUCAAUUUGAUUAUCAAUCUUUUGAUUUUUCUUUCCAUAUACUGUUUUGUUUCUUUUCUUGUCGUGCAGGUGAAGCGGGGAUGCGGCUCUUGCGGAUCUUGGCUGCAGCGUGAGGCUUACCCCAGAAACCCUAGGGUUUCUGAAACUGCUUUGGGCCCGGGAUUUAUUUUGGGCCUCUGUUUAUUUCAGUUUGGGCCCUUAUAGGCCUGUUUGUAAUUGGACUCUGUAUUUAUUUUUCAUGUAGGCCGGGUAAAAUUUAGGUGUUACAAACUUUAUAUAGUUUUUUUAUGUUUAUUGUUUUUUAAAAAAUAAAAAAAUGAAAAAGGUUUAUUUUUGUUAUUAUUAUAUUUUUAAUGACUAUUUAAAUUUAAUUUAAAAAAAAAGACAGACCUAACAUACAAAUAGAUCAAAAGUUUAAAAGCAUUUAAUUGGAUGCCGCCAACAAUCAUGAGCCACCCUUUUUUCAUCUCAUUUAAAAAAUUAAUUAUUUCAUCUAGUUUCUAAACGUUUUAUAUAAUCACAUUUCAAUCCGGUGUCACCAAUAACAAUGGCAGAACCUCACAAAAAAAUAUUAUUUUUUAAAAUCAACCAAUAUUGGCCCAUUAUGAAGGAUGGUGCGUCAAUGGCAAUGACGACACCAAAAUUUACUGUUCAAAACAGGUAUUUUUAUAUAUAAUUUUGUACAUGAUUUUUUAUAAAUAAUUAAUUUAUUUGAGUUAUCUUUAAGAAAAAGCCAUGAAAGGUUGAAUGGUGACUUUGAGAGAUGGGGCAUCUCCUGCACAACACCCAUUUGUGAAGGCAGAACAAAUGGAUCGACUCAUGCAAAAACAAGUCAAAUUUUGGGCUACAAUAGCUGCUUCCAUAGACAUCUGGCCUUAAUUUCCUUACCCCCAAAAAAUAUUGAUUAAAAUAUAAAUAGUAUAGAUUAAAAUAUUUAAAGCAUAAACUUUAUUUUAUUAAAAUAAUUAAAUUUCAAGAAAAAAACCGACAAAUUUCAUUAAAAUAUAAAAGCAUAAUGUCAAAUUUAUCUCUUACCCCUUUUUUUUAAAGCUAAAUUUAAUUCUAAACAUUUUUAAAAAUAGUUAACUUUAAUCAUAAAUCUUUUGAAAAAGAAAUUGAAUUGAUGUUUUUUCUAAUAGAAAUAUUGAUUAAAAUGUUAAAAAUUUAAGUACCGCAGCCUUAUGAAAUUUCAUAUGUAAUUCAUGUUUUUUUUAAUUUUUUAUGAAAAUUUUGUAUUUUUUUAAAUUUUGAAUUUGGAAAUUUUUUUAAAAUUUUAAAAUAUUUGUUAACUUUAAGAUAUAAAAUAAAUAAUGUUAUGUUAGCAUAAAGUACACCUGAAAUAUUGUUAAAAAUUAAUAUUUUAAUAUUUUAAUAUCAAGCAACAAUGUUAGGGAUUCAACUGGGUUACCUUAAUGUGGACAUAUUAGGAGACUCAAAAACAGUUAUAUCUAAAUGUCAAAGUGAAAAUCGUGACAGAUCAGAAAUAGGAGCAAUCAUCAGUGAUAUUCAAAGUCUAAAAGGUUUCUUUCAAAAAAUCAGAUUCUCCUUCAUACCAAGGACUGGAAAUAUGGAAGCACACAGAAUAGCAAGAGAAACACUCAAGAAAGGAGAAGAAUUUUACCUGGAAGGAGAGACUUUACGUGCGUUAUGGGAGGAGCAUGAAUCAAUUCGUCUGGAUCAUUCGGAGCAAAGGGAGAGGAGAUAAGAUUUGUUUUGAAGUGGGUGUCGGUUGAAAUGAAAGAUGAAGAGCAGUAUAGUAAAAGCAAUCAGAAAAGCAGGAGAUCUGAGGAGAUUUGCUUUUACUGUUCAGUGGUCUUGGGCAGAGGAAAUGGAAGAACAAUUAUUGCAGACAACUGGAUCACGUUCGGCUGGGGGUUUUUGAUUUUUUUCGUUUGUGGGCUAAAAUGAUAACAGCCCGUUUCUUUGUAGUUUUAUUUAGGAUUUAUUGUUUUAGGUUCAGCCCAACUUGGACGAUUUUCAUUUUUUUCUUUUUUAAUCCAGUCGAAUUUUCAAAAAAAAAAAUUCUUUUAAAAGAUUAAUAAUGAAAUUUAGUUUAAAAAUAAGAGUUAAAUUGAUAAAAUGUAAAUAUUUAGCGUUAAAUUUAUGAUUAUGGUAAAUAUAAAAGGCAC